CGCCAGCAUGCAGAGUCUGAUGUCUUCCCUAUAGAUGGUGAGACUCUUUGCGUUGAUUGGUGCUGCUGGACCACACUGGAGGUGCGAGUCCGCCGUGUAAUGGUUUAUGCCAUUACAAAGGAGCUGGCCUCUGUACUCAACUGGGCAGGGGAAAAAAACCAAGGACCAGACAAAGCAAAAAAGGGCAUUUAAAGAGACAGCGCUGUGCAGAUGCAUAUUUGAUGGCCUGGCGCAGCAGGUAGGGGCGAACUCUAUGUCUGAGUUGGUCUUUCCUCAAGCAGUCCAGAAAUGGCUCAGAUAUGCUCCAGAUCGUACGGGUGGCGCGCAGGACGCACAUCAUCCAUCCCCAUCCCCGAGUAAAUAAUAAAAAGUGACGUGAAA
Oreochromis aureus is the source of this 381-nucleotide long non-coding RNA. Lineage: Eukaryota; Metazoa; Chordata; Actinopteri; Cichliformes; Cichlidae. The record is from Ensembl.